GGUGGUUCUCAGGUGAAGCAACCCAGAAUCAGGUUCCCUCCUCUGUGGUUCUGGGUGUGUCACCCCAGAAAUGCC
Molecule: non-coding RNA, 75 nt
Organism: Myotis brandtii (Brandt's bat)
Lineage: Eukaryota; Metazoa; Chordata; Mammalia; Chiroptera; Vespertilionidae
Source: Rfam